GACUACCAGGGUAUCUAAGCCUGUUUGCUACCCACGCUUUCGUGCAUCAGCGUCAAUGACAGACCAGUAAGCCGCCUUCGCCACUGGUGUUCCUCCAUAUAUCUAAGCAUUUUACCGCUACACAUGGAAUUCCACUUACCUCUUCUGUAUUCAAGCCUAUCAGUUUCCAAUGACCCUUCACGGUUAAGCCGUGACAUUUUACACCAGACUUAAUAGGCCGCCUACGCACCCUUUACGCCCAAUAAUUCCGGAUAACGCUUGCCCCCUAUGUAUUACCGCGGCUGCUGGCACAUAGUUAGCCGGGGCUUCCUCAUAAAGUACCGUCAAAUAUAUAGCAUUUCCUCUAUAUAUCUUUCUUCCUCUAUAACAGAACUUUACAAUCCGAAGACCUUCAUCGUUCACGCGGCAUUGCUCGGUCAGGCUUUCGCCCAUUGCCGAAAAUUCCCCACUGCAGCCUCCCGUAGG
RNAcentral lists this ribosomal RNA (465 nucleotides) under uncultured bacterium. RNAcentral describes it as "partial 16S ribosomal RNA". The record is from RNAcentral.